UACGUAGGGUGCAAGCGUUGUCCGGAAUUAUUGGGCGUAAAGAGCGCGUAGGCGGUCCGAUAAGUCGGCUGUGAAAGUCAAGGGCUCAACCCUUGAAAGCCGGCCGAUACUGUCGGACUAGAGUCCGGAAGAGGCGAGUGGAAUUCCCGGUGUAGCGGUGAAAUGCGCAGAUAUCGGGAGGAACACCAAUGGCGAAGGCAGCUCGCUGGGACGGUACUGACGCUGAGGCGCGAAAGCGUGGGGAGCGAACAGG
RNAcentral lists this ribosomal RNA (253 nucleotides) under uncultured bacterium. RNAcentral describes it as "partial 16S ribosomal RNA". It matches the Rfam family "Bacterial small subunit ribosomal RNA", at positions 524 to 776 of the family's 1533-position model. The record is from RNAcentral.